Long non-coding RNA from Carassius auratus (goldfish), 995 nucleotides. RefSeq lists it as uncharacterized. The transcript is spliced from 4 exons. The record is from RefSeq and is a predicted model, not a curated record. Lineage: Eukaryota; Metazoa; Chordata; Actinopteri; Cypriniformes; Cyprinidae.
AGAAACAAACUCACCCAGAUCUUGGAUGACCUGAGGAUCGGCCUGACGGGCAGGAGAGGUCACGAGGAGAUGUCACAGGUCACGGAGAGCCCCCAAUCACGCUUUAGCCUCAACAUUUUGACAUGCGCCCAAUGAUUGCCUCAGAGAGAGAGAGAGAGAGUCAUGUGACCCGGCAGAAAACUCCAAUUAGAGCGCGGAGGUUACAAGUUCUUGGAAACCGAAGGGAUGUGAGUCACAGUGUGAAGUGCAAAACCUUGGAAAAUGCUUUUAAUCACCGAUUCGAAGCUCCUGACUUUUUCGGCAACUGCUGCCAAACCCAUGUGACAUGAAGUACCUUAAAGUGUUUUAAGACUUGAAUUCUUACUGCCACAUGUGAAGGACGAUAUGAGACACUGCGCUUCUGUCCGAGAGAAAGCAUGUGUUGAGCGAUGGAGAGCUGAGAUUCGGAGGAGAGAGUGGGUCACCUGGAGUCCAGAGACUAUAAAUGAGGUUUACACGAGUCCUGUGAAAGAGGUAUUCAUUAACCGUGAUGUUUGCAUGGUGACUAAAGCUGAAGGAAUCUGUCAAUUCAACUCCACUUGAGCUCAGUGAAAGCUUUAAUGGUUUACAGCAGCGAAUGCAUGAUGAUCUAAACCAGUGUUGAUGCUCCUGGCGUCCUUCAUACGGAUUAUUCUGAUGUAAUGCAAUCAAACUUAAUGAAUAAUUCACUCCAAAAUCAAACUUUUGUAAUUAUUUACUUGUCCUCGUGUCAUUGCGUGGAAAAGAGUUGCUUCAAAACUUCAGGUUCAGUGCAUUUACACCACAAUGAUGUGCUACAAACAGAAAGUUUUUCCUAAAACGUUGUCAAAAUUAUUAAUGUUUGCAUGGAUCAGUGAAAAACAACUUUAAAAAACGCUUUAUAAUGCAUUGUCAGGAGUCAUUUUAUAAAGACACACAUAACACAGAUGUUUAAUUGAGAUUUCGUAGUUUACAUUAAGAAAAUAUGGGUGUUGUUU